This 253-nucleotide ribosomal RNA is filed under the name uncultured bacterium. RNAcentral describes it as "partial 16S ribosomal RNA". It matches the Rfam family "Bacterial small subunit ribosomal RNA", at positions 526 to 779 of the family's 1533-position model. The record is from RNAcentral.
CGUAGGGGCGAGCGUUGUCCGGAAUCACUGGGCGUAAAGAGCGUGUAGGCGGCCCGGUAAGUCUGCUGUGAAAACCCGGGGCUCAACCCCGGGCGUGCAGUGGAAACUGCCGGGCUAGAGGGCGGCAGAGGCGAGUGGAAUUCCCGGUGUAGCGGUGAAAUGCGCAGAUAUCGGGAGGAACACCAGUAGCGAAGGCGGCUCGCUGGGCCGUCCCUGACGCUGAGACGCGAAAGCUAGGGGAGCGAACAGGAUU